GAGAGAUAAGUACUAGUUGGUUUGUACUAUUAAUUUGAAGUUAAAAAGUGGUGGUUCAAGUCCGUCAUCUCUUG
Molecule: transfer RNA, 74 nt
Filed under: Paroedura picta
Lineage: Eukaryota; Metazoa; Chordata; Lepidosauria; Squamata; Gekkonidae
Description: tRNA-Ser
Rfam family: tRNA
About the family: Transfer RNA (tRNA) molecules are approximately 80 nucleotides in length.
Source: RNAcentral